GAAAGGUAAGCCGGAGAGGGUGACAGCCCCGUACGAGUAGAAAAGCUGACUGUUCUUGAGUAAGGCGGAGCACGAGAAAUUCUGUCUGAAAAUGGGGAGACCACUCUCCAAGGCUAAGUACUACUGAUUGACCGAUAGUGAACAAGUACCGUGAGGGAAAGGUGAAAAGCACCCCUAUAAGGGGAGUGAAAGAGAACCUGAAACCGGAUGCCUACAAGCAGUCGGAGGGUCAUAAGGCCUGACGGCGUACCUUUUGUAUAAUGGGUCAGCGACUUAAUUUAUGUAGCAAGCUUAAGCCGAUAGGUGUAGGCGUAGAGAAAUCGAGUGUUAACAGCGCGUUAAGUUACAUGAAUUAGACCCGAAACCGAGUGAUCUAGCCAUGAUCAGGUUGAAGGUUGGGUAACACCAACUGGAGGACCGAACCCACUCCCGUUGAAAAGGUAGGGGAUGAAUUGUGGCUAGGGGUGAAAGGCCAAUCAAACUCGGAAAUAGCUGGUUCUCCGCGAAAACUAUUUAGGUAGUGCGGUGAGCGGACACCUUGAGGGGUAGAGCACUGGAAGAGCUAAGGGGGAGCGAUCCUUACUAAACUUUACCAAACUCCGAAUACUCAAGAGUGAUACUCACCAGACAGACAUUAGGUGCUAAGGUCUAGUGUCGAGAGGGAAAGAGCCCAGACCGCCAAUUAAGGUCCCAAAAUUAUGGCUAAGUGGUAAAGGAAGUGAAACGUCCAAAACAGUCAGGAGGUUGGCUUAGAAGCAGCCAUCCUUUAAAGAAAGCGUAAUAGCUCACUGAUCUAAACAAGACGUCUUGCGCCGAAGAUGUAACGGGGCUAAAGCCAUAUACCGAAGUUGCGGAUUUACACGUUAAAGUGUAAGUGGUAGCGGAGCGUUCUGUAAGCCUGCGAAGGUGUACCGUAAGGUAUGCUGGAGGUAUCAGAAGUGAGAAUGCUGACAUGAGUAGCGAAAAGAAGAGUGAGAGACUCUUCCGCUGAAAGUCCAAGGUUUCCUGCGUAAAGCUAAUCUGCGCAGGGUUAGUCGGUCCCUAAGGCGAGGCAGAGAUGCGUAGUCGAUGGCAAUCAGGUUAAUAUUCCUGAACCGGCCCGGAAGUGACGGAUUGAGUAAAUUGUAAGUUCUUAUUGGAUUGAGCUUGCAGUGAAUCAGUCCCAGGAAAUAGCCCGGGCUAAGACCGUACCCGAAACCGACACAGGUGGACAGGUAGAGAAUACCAAAGCGCUUGAGAGAACUAUGUUGAAGGAACUAGGCAAAAUACUUGCGUAACUUCGGGAUAAGCAAGCCCCAUUUUAAGGCAACUUAGGGUGGGGGGCACAUACUAGGGGGUAGCGACUGUUUACUAAAAACACAGGGCUCUGCUAAAUUGAAAGAUGAAGUAUAGGGUCUGACGCCUGCCCGGUGCUGGAAGGUUAAGGAGAGAUGUGCAAGCAUUGAACUGAAGCCCCAGUAAACGGCGGCCGUAACUAUAACGGUCCUAAGGUAGCGAAAUUCCUUGUCGGGUAAGUUCCGACCUGCACGAAUGGCGUAACGACUUCCCCGCUGUCUCCAACAUAGGCUCAGCGAAAUUGAACUCUGAGUUAAGAUGCUCAGUACCCGCGGUUAGACGGAGAGACCCCGUGAACCUUUACUAUAGCUUUGCAGUGGUAUUAGGUAACAAAUGUGUAGAAUAGGUGGGAUGCUAUGAAGCUACGACGCCAGUUGUAGUGGAGCAGACUUUGAAAUACCACCCUUUUGUUGUUUGAUAUCUAACCUGCUCCCGUUAUCCGGGAGAGGGACCCUGCAUGGUGGGUAGUUUGACUGGGGCGGUCGCCUCCCAAAGAGUAACGGAGGCGCGCAAAGGUUGGCUCAGAUUGGUCAGAAAUCAAUCGUCGAGUGCAAUGGCAUAAGCCAGCCUGACUGCGAGAGAGACAUUUCGAGCAGAUACGAAAGUAGGUCAUAGUGAUCCGGUGGUCCCGAGUGGAAGGGCCAUCGCUCAACGGAUAAAAGGUACUCCGGGGA
Molecule: ribosomal RNA, 2009 nt
Filed under: human gut metagenome
Description: bacterial LSU rRNA
Rfam family: Bacterial large subunit ribosomal RNA
Source: RNAcentral